UUAAGUUCAGCGGGUAGCCCUACCUGAUUUCAGAUCAAAGUUUGAAAUGAGUUUUCUGUAUUAUCAAGACUGACUUCCAGAAGCAAAUGUAGCCAAAGAUUUGACAAAAGUCAAAACUAUUAGGCCAAACUGCUGUAGUAGGAAACAGCCAAGAGCUACAUUUUAGGAGUGCCGACUAAUAAAAAUCGGCGCAUCCCAAU
RNAcentral lists this unclassified non-coding RNA (200 nucleotides) under Umbelopsis sp. Its description in RNAcentral is "partial internal transcribed spacer 2". Lineage: Eukaryota; Fungi; Mucoromycota; Umbelopsidomycetes; Umbelopsidales; Umbelopsidaceae. The record is from RNAcentral.